RNAcentral lists this ribosomal RNA (498 nucleotides) under uncultured bacterium. RNAcentral's name for it is "partial 16S ribosomal RNA". It matches the Rfam family "Bacterial small subunit ribosomal RNA", at positions 28 to 507 of the family's 1533-position model. The record is from RNAcentral.
GACGAACGCUGGCGGCAUGCCUAACACAUGCAAGUCGAACGGAGAUUAUUUCGGUAAUCUUAGUGGCGAACGGGUGAGUAACGCGUGGGCAACCUGCCCUCUAGAUGGGGACAACAUCCCGAAAGGGGUGCUAAUACCGAAUGUGACAGCAAUCUCGCAUGAGGAUGCUGUGAAAGAUGGCCUCUAUUUAUAAGCUAUCGCUAGAGGAUGGGCCUGCGUCUGAUUAGCUAGUUGGUGGGGUAACGGCCUACCAAGGCGAUGAUCAGUAGCCGGUCUGAGAGGAUGGACGGCCGAAAUGGGGAUAAGACGAGGGCCAGACGCCUAGGGGAGGAAGCAGUGAGGAAGCGUACGCAAUGGAGGAAAGACUGACGGAGCAAAGACGCGUGAGUGAUGAGGAGAUUCGGUCCGUAAAGCUGUUUUGUUUAUGACGAAAGGACAGAUUGUGAAAAAUGAUAUGUAAUGACGAUAGUAAACAGAUAAGCCACGGCUAACUACGAG